CUUCCUUUCACUCCAACGGGGACUCUGUUCUUUCCCUGUUUUCUCUUCUUCUUCGGUGAAGAAGAAGAAGAAGAGAGCGUCAUACAAACAAAUGGGAUCUCUCUUUGAAGAUGUUCUCUUCGCCACCGACCAAGAAAAAUAGCAAAAAGUUUCGAGCUUUACUUAGUUCAUGGAGGAUCGAUCUUCCUUCACACCCGGACCCGCCUUCGAUCACGAAAACCAAGGAGACUAACUAGUAACUACCGUGGAGUCGAGUUACAGGAAGUAUGCAACCAUUCGCGCGCUGGCGCUUUUGAUUUACGAGAAAUCUGGUCUGUUGGUUUCUCGUGUCUUUCACCGAUGGUGUUUUUUCCUUUUCAACUGGCCUGUCUGUUUUACGAGUUCCCCCCUGAUUUUCUUUGAGCAGGCCAAAAUGGAAGAGCUUGUCGUGCCUUUAUUUGGGUUUUAUUAGAGAGCAUCUUUUGGAUAAGUUAUUGGUCAGAAGAAGAUAUUGAAGAAGUAAUGUUUGUCUUCCAUGAUCGUUUUGAUUCGUUCGUUCUACUUGUUGGGAAAUUAGUUGCCAAGAUGAAGCAGCAGAGGCUGCAUUGCGCCCGUCCUUCGAUGGGAAACUAGGCGAAAGAAUGUCGGGUAUAUUUCCUGCAGGUCUUUCCUUUUCUUUCUCAGAUAUUUUUCUUGUCAAACGUGAAGUUUUGAAGCUGAGAAUAUGAGCCCAAGAGAGGCUUCGAUGCAUUAUUCAUAAUGGUACAUAUUGGCCUUCCAUUAAAACUC
Long non-coding RNA from Eucalyptus grandis, 768 nucleotides. RefSeq lists it as uncharacterized. The record is from RefSeq and is a predicted model, not a curated record. NCBI's taxonomy places the organism in Eukaryota, Viridiplantae, Streptophyta, Magnoliopsida, Myrtales, Myrtaceae. The transcript is spliced from 2 exons.